CCGUUUUACUCUGGCAGCGGGCAGCUGCACAAGCAGCCAGACAGGCGUUAAAGCAGGCGGGAAGAGAGUCGUCGUGAAAGACCCAGAGUACGCUGGGACAGUAACACUAGCAGGCAGGUGGUUAUGAAGCAGACGAGGAGGGGGAAGAGUCGAGGCCACAGGAGUAACUUUACGCUGGUCUACGUGGAGUUUAAUAGGAUUGCUGGUAAGAUCUUGAAAAGGGAAUUUUACGAGACCCUUGACCAACAUGAUGAUGAACCUCUUGAUGAACCUUCUGAAGCAACAAAGCUAUCAGAGCCAACUGAAAAACUGAACUUUGGUGCUUCAAGGACUACCCCUUUGGUUUGGAGAUGACUCUCCUGCUUUCUUUAAGAUGUGUUUGAUGUCCGAUGAUCACAGCUCAAUUCUUGAUCUGCCAGUGGGGAUUGUGAUAGUUGAAGAUGGGACAAGAUGGGUCUCCCUCUUCGAUUGGAAUCGCAAUCGAGGGAAAAUUAGUGAUGGACAAUCUACAUGACCUUCCUGAAAAAGCAAUGUGCCUUCUGUUCGAACCAAUAUAUGCAUUGCACCUGAGUUACCCAAAGUCACUGGGAUACAUGUUUGACUUUAUUCAGCGGAUUCUACUUUCCUUGGGGCAGAAAGACCUGCAGCCUAAAACACAGUCGUUGGCAAACCAGCUGUUAGGCUAAAAUCGAGAAAUUGCUAGCCGCACUUUUAAUUGCAACACAUUUAUAUUACACAUGGUCUUUUGAAAAUGAGACUUAAAAAUAUGAGCUUAAUGUUUUGUUUUUAUUGUGAGUGUAAUGUUUUGUAAAAAUGUAAGCUUACUGUUAAACAUGAGCUCAAUAUUUUAAUGUGAUUUAAAAAUGCAGCUUGCUGUUAAAAAUAUGAGCUACUGUUUUCUAAAAAUGUGAGCUUAAGUGUUAAGUGCUGUUCAAGUGUCUUAAUGUGACUUAAAAAUGUGAGCUUGAUAAUGUUUCUUAAAUUAAUGUAAAUGUAUAAACCAAAUAAAGCUAUUAAUGGAAAAACAA
Long non-coding RNA from Carassius gibelio (silver crucian carp), 1028 nucleotides. RefSeq lists it as uncharacterized. NCBI's taxonomy places the organism in Eukaryota, Metazoa, Chordata, Actinopteri, Cypriniformes, Cyprinidae. The record is from RefSeq and is a predicted model, not a curated record. The transcript has 5 exons.